RNAcentral lists this ribosomal RNA (1445 nucleotides) under uncultured organism. RNAcentral's name for it is "16S ribosomal RNA". It matches the Rfam family "Bacterial small subunit ribosomal RNA". The record is from RNAcentral.
UCAGGAUGAACGCUAGCUACAGGCUUAACACAUGCAAGUCGAGGGGCAGCAUUUUAGUUUGCUUGCAAACUGAAGAUGGCGACCGGCGCACGGGUGAGUAACACGUAUCCAACCUGCCGAUAACUCCGGAAUAGCCUUUCGAAAGAAAGAUUAAUACCGGAUAGUAUACGAAUAUCGCAUGGUAUUUUUAUUAAAGAAUUUCGGUUAUCGAUGGGGAUGCGUUCCAUUAGUUUGUUGGCGGGGUAACGGCCCACCAAGACUACGAUGGAUAGGGGUUCUGAGAGGAAGGUCCCCCACAUUGGAACUGAGACACGGUCCAAACUCCUACGGGAGGCAGCAGUGAGGAAUAUUGGUCAAUGGGCGAGAGCCUGAACCAGCCAAGUAGCGUGAAGGAUGAAGGCUCUAUGGGUCGUAAACUUCUUUUAUAUGGGAAUAAAGUUUUCCACGUGUGGAAUUUUGUAUGUACCAUAUGAAUAAGGAUCGGCUAACUCCGUGCCAGCAGCCGCGGUAAUACGGAGGAUCCGAGCGUUAUCCGGAUUUAUUGGGUUUAAAGGGAGCGUAGGUGGAUUGUUAAGUCAGUUGUGAAAGUUUGCGGCUCAACCGUAAAAUUGCAGUUGAAACUGGCAGUCUUGAGUACAGUAGAGGUGGGCGGAAUUCGUGGUGUAGCGGUGAAAUGCUUAGAUAUCACGAAGAAUUCCGAUUGCGAAGGCAGCUCACUAGACUGUCACUGACACUGAUGCUCGAAAGUGUGGGUAUCAAACAGGAUUAGAUACCCUGGUAGUCCACACAGUAAACGAUGAAUACUCGCUGUUUGCGAUAUACAGUAAGCGGCCAAGCGAAAGCAUUAAGUAUUCCACCUGGGGAGUACGCCGGCAACGGUGAAACUCAAAGGAAUUGACGGGGGCCCGCACAAGCGGAGGAACAUGUGGUUUAAUUCGAUGAUACGCGAGGAACCUUACCCGGGCUUAAAUUGCAACAGAAUAUAUUGGAAACAGUAUAGCCGUAAGGCUGUUGUGAAGGUGCUGCAUGGUUGUCGUCAGCUCGUGCCGUGAGGUGUCGGCUUAAGUGCCAUAACGAGCGCAACCCCUAUCUUUAGUUACUAACAGGUGAUGCUGAGGACUCUAGAGAGACUGCCGUCGUAAGAUGUGAGGAAGGUGGGGAUGACGUCAAAUCAGCACGGCCCUUACGUCCGGGGCUACACACGUGUUACAAUGGGGGGUACAGAAGGCGGCUACCUGGUGACAGGAUGCUAAUCCCAAAAACCUCUCUCAGUUCGGAUCGAAGUCUGCAACCCGACUUCGUGAAGCUGGAUUCGCUAGUAAUCGCGCAUCAGCCAUGGCGCGGUGAAUACGUUCCCGGGCCUUGUACACACCGCCCGUCAAGCCAUGAAAGCCGGGGGUACCUGAAGUACGUAACCGCAAGGAGCGUCCUAGGGUAAAACUGGU